AAAUGUCUUAGAGUUCGUUACGAAUCUCACGAUCGUUGUUUAAAUUCCUUCCCCUCUCUCUUCCUGUACUUCCCCCCUCUCCCAUCGACCCUCAUCAACCAUGCGCGAGCUUUAUUAUUUCCUUCCUACGUGAAACACGCCCGGCACGCUUCCCCACCACACAUUUGUCUCCGCAGCUACCGUUAUAUUAUGCGUUUAUAAUGCAGUACAGAGUGCUGCAGUUCGCUCAAGAUGUUCCUGCGUUGCGCGUUUAUCACGAAAAUAAACCUUAUCUUGCUUGACUUAAGUAUAUACGCUUACGAUUACCAGCAAACCUAAUGCUCAAGGAAACAUUUCAAAAUUUCACAUUCGUAGUCAACGAAAAUGUUGAAUAUAUCUACUUACUUGCCGAGAAUUUAUUGAAAUAUUUUGUGGUAGUAAUUCAGACUAAAUGACACGGUUACCAAAGGAGGAUUUUUAAUUUAAAAAUUUUUCAUUUUUAUGAAACUUUUUCAGAAUAAUUCUUCGUCUUUCGUCAUGUAAUUAAUUAAUCGUGUAGAGGAUAAAAAAUAAAAAUUAUAUCAAAAUUAAUUACUAACUAAAAUAAAAAUAUUACCGAACAUUUGUAAUUCCAAAUAAUGUAUGUGUAAGUGUGUGUGUAUAAGUAUGAUAGAUCGUAUACUUAUACGUUAUUGAUUUUUUCGAAAAAAAUGGAUGGAAUUAAAGCAAUACAAAUAAAAGGAACAACGUUUAACAACACAUUAUAAUUAUAUACAUAUAGUGCUGUGUAUAUAUAUAUAUAUAUAUAUAUAUAUAUAUAUAUAUAUGUGUGUAUAUGUAUAUUCUAAUUUAUUCUAAUAAGACGAAGUUAUGUGUGGAUUUAUAUUUUUGCUUUUAUGAUCGCACGAUGUAAAAAAAGAACGAAGUAUGAGUCAUCGAUAUUUAUAUUAUUAUUGUAACGUGAAGACAAAGAGAAUAACUUCUUGAACUUUCAAGAAGCGUCACACAUAUAUACAAUCAUGCACAACGCAAACUAUACGUACAGACUCAUUAAUAUAUAUUUAUAAUUAUUCAUAGAUGUCUAUAGUCUUACAGGAAUUUAUGUUAAUAUCAUUUCAGACAAUUUAUUUUACUUGCUUUAAUCUUAUUUCGUUUUUUAACAAUAUGUUUUAACGAAAAAAUAAAUAUUUUAUUAUAAAUCAUCGGAUUUUAUAAAUUAAUUGAAUUAAUCAAUUUACUUUAUUUAAUAUUUAGUUUAGAAUGAUCAAACUAUACAUUUGAUUUCAAUAUACGCUAGUUCGAAAUAUGCGAAUUUAUAUUCUGAACUGAAAAAUUUUGUGAUAAAAUCGUUUCAACUUUAUGUAUUUUUAAUUCUCAAUUUUUGCACAAUGUACGUUAAAUUGUUAGAUCAUUUUACUGUUUUACAUUAUACAUUGGCCGUGAAAAUUGAUUUUUCAAAACUCGUUCGUGGAUAUUUAAGUAAAGAAUAUAUACAUAUUUCAUGAAAAUAAUUCAAUGAACGGUUGGAUCGUACUCCCUUUCAUACUCUCUUCCUCUCUUUUUUUUUUGUUUCGUUUAUCUCGUCAUUCACCGUUCUAUUUACCGUUUCAUCGAAUUCGUUUAUCAAUUCUUUUUUUCUCCUUUUAUUUCGUCGUGCAUUUCAUUUUCCUCUCCCCUCUUGUAUAGGCAUUGUCUCGUUAAUUUAUGUAUUCUACUCUUUAUUAACCUGCGUUACAAACUCUACGCUCCGCGAGAAAGAACGUGGCAAUCAAGAGAACGACGGGAUCGUUUAUUUAUUUGUUCUCUCCCUUUUCUAACACGUACACAGAGACAUACAAUCGUAAACAACAUACUAGGACGUUGGAAUCAAGUACAGUAGAAGAAUGCGUCUGGAAUCGUGUUCCGCACGAAUUCUUGUUUCGCGCGAUUUACACCCGCGUACGCUUGAUUGAUCGUCUCUUAUUUAACGUUUGCUUCUUGUUAGGGACUAGAUCACGUAGAUGUAACGUAGAUGUAACUUACACAAUUGCAAUAAAAAAAAGAGGUCUACUUGUUUUAACUAAUCAAUGGGAACGAAAUUUUCAAUACUACCUUAACGAUCUAUAAUGUAAUAUUGUUCGUAUAUGAAAAAGAUAAAAAAAAAAAAAAAAAAAACAAAAAAAAAGAAUGUAUAUAAUGU
Vespa velutina is the source of this 2158-nucleotide long non-coding RNA. RefSeq lists it as uncharacterized. The transcript is spliced from 2 exons. The record is from RefSeq and is a predicted model, not a curated record. NCBI's taxonomy places the organism in Eukaryota, Metazoa, Arthropoda, Insecta, Hymenoptera, Vespidae.